RNAcentral lists this ribosomal RNA (235 nucleotides) under uncultured Actinomycetales bacterium. RNAcentral's name for it is "partial 16S ribosomal RNA". It matches the Rfam family "Bacterial small subunit ribosomal RNA", at positions 96 to 334 of the family's 1533-position model. Lineage: Bacteria; Bacillati; Actinomycetota; Actinomycetes; Actinomycetales. The record is from RNAcentral.
UGGCGAACUGGUGAGUAACACGUGGGUGAUCUGCCCUGCACUUCGGGAUAAGCUUGGGAAACUGGGUCUAAUACCGGAUAGGAGCCAUCUUUAGUGUGGUGGUUGGAAAGUUUUUUCGGUGUAGGAUGAGCUCGCGGCCUAUCAGCUUGUUGGUGGGGUAAUGGCCUACCAAGGCGGCGACGGGUAGCCGGCCUGAGAGGGUGUACGGCCACAUUGGGACUGAGAUACGGCCCAG